GGAGCUCAGUGAGGACGGCGCUGCUGCGACUUUCAGCGGAGGAGCUUUUUAAAAAGCUGGUGGACGCAGACAUUGAUAUAACAGCGGAGGAGGCUCAGAAACCCAAAGGUUAUCAUUGGUGAACGAGUGAGGAGCAGUGGAGGAGAAAGAGCAGGGAAACUGAGGACGGCCUCAGUAUCAAAGAGCUGAUCUGUCUGAGUUUAGAGGAACAUCAGCUCAGAGGGAAAAAGCUCUCCCACCAUAUAAGUCCAGGCCGAGAGCUGAAGCACCACAGGAGGCUCGGAGCUUUGAAAGGUUAAAAACACCUACAGCCGGCACCAUCUCCUUACGAUCAGAUUAUGUAAAGAAAGGCGUGUAACAAGCGAGUUCCUCCGCACACACGAGAUUCCUGCGGAGAUAGCGAGAAGUGCUGGCUCUCCAUGGAUUACCAUCCCAGCAGGGAAGAGGCACAGGCGGUGUGGAGAAAGGAGGCAGAAGCAAGGCCGCAGGCCUGGUGGGCUAGCCAGGCUAUGGAGGCAGCCAUUCAAACCUCUGCUUCCCAGCCUAUUUCUCGCGAAUGCCAGAUCUCUCGUAAACAAAAUGGAUGAAUAGAGGCUACAGACAGCAGCAAGUAACACCAUGAAGGAUGCAUGCAUUCUGCUUAUUACAGAGGCCUGGCUUCACCAAUCCAUUCUACCAUUGAGCUAGCAGGCUACACUACACAGCGUCAUGACAGAACAGAAGACAACAGUGAACAACAGCUGGUGUAACAACUCUUCAGAUUUAUAAUAUCUCACUGUUAAAUGCAGCAAUUAUCUGCAUUUAUCUCCCAAGGAGGUUCACUGUGAUCAUGAUUACUGGAUGGUAAUGCUAGCUGAGCUAUCAGACUUUUGCAUACAAGUAUUACCAAACAAACAGCAUGUAUCCUGACACUGUGAAUAUCAUAGCAGGGUAUUUCAAUCAUACAGAUUUAAAGGCAGUACUCCCCAACUUCCAUCAGCAUGUCAAGUGUUCAACAAGGGGAAAAACACCUUGGACAAGGUAUAUUCUAACAUCAAACUGGGCUACAGGACCAGACCAUUACCAUGCCUUUGCCAGUCCGACCACUUGUCAUUGCUUUUAAUCACUGCAUGUGCCACUCUCAGGAAAACUGCUCCUGGCAUCACUAAGACUGUUACCAUAUGGUCAGAGGGUGCCACCCAGCAGCUGCAGGAUUGCUUUGAGAGGACCAACUGGGAGGUGUCCAAACACCAGGACCUGGACAUGUUCACGGACAGUGUUCUGUGCUAUAUUAAGAACUGCACAGACACCGUCACAGUGAAAAAAUGCAUCGGUGUCUACCCCAACCAGAAGCCCUGGAUGACACGGGGGUUCCAGCAGCUGCUAAAAGAGGAACACCACCUGGAGGUCUGGUAACAAAGACCUCUACAGCAUAACCCGAGCCAAUCUGAAGAGGGGCAUCAGAGAGACCAUGGCAGACUACAGGAGGAGGAUAGAGGACCACUUGUGCAGUAACAACAGCAGGCAGGUGUGGCAGGGAGGUCAGCAUCUGACCAACUACAGGACCAACCGCAGAGCUGCUAGAAGUGAGCCUGCGUUGGCAGAGAAGCUGAACAACUUGCCCGCUUUGAGGUCACAGCACCAGAGAAGGCACUGCUACAUCACACAGCCCACAGCAGCGUAAACCUCACAAUUGAAGAGCAUGAGGUGAGGUGCACGCUGCAGGUUGUCAACCUGAGGAAGGCAACUGAUUCUGAUGGUAUUCUGGGACGCAUGGUGAAGGACUGUGCAGAUCACCUGGCUGAAAUCUGUAGAAAGAUCUUCAACCAGUCCCUGAAACAUUACACUGUCCCACCAUGCCUGAAAUCCUCAAACAUAGUCUCCCUGCCCAAGAAACCCCAUAUUUCCAAUCUUAAUGACCACUGGCCAGUGGCACUCACCCCAGUGUUGAUGAAAUGCUUAGAAAAACUGGUCUGAAGCCACAUCACAGCAGCCCUGCUCUGCAGCUUUGACUUUUUUUCACCAGUUUGCAUACAGAGCAAACCAAUCCACAGAGGACGCCAUAGCUAUAGCACUCCAGACUACACCAUCACACCCGUAGCAGCAGGGGAGCUAUGUGCGGAUGCUCUUCGUGGAUUAUAGCUCUGCAUUCAAGACCACCCCCCCCCCUCACAGUCUUCAGACAGCUGAGCUUGUGUGGUCCUGCUUUGCUGUAAUGAAAACCUGCAGCCACCAGAUAAGAUUGGACACCACUGGACACUCUGAGAAGACAGAUGCUCUUGAGGCUGCUUUCUAAACUGGAACUGGGCCUCACAAGAGUACCUUUGGAUUUAGAGUACAUGGAAUUUACAUGUAGGCAGGAAUUGUAUCUGUAACGCACUUUCCCAUCAUGUUGAUGUGCCGACUGAGGAAUUACAUGCCCUGCAGGAGCUCUUUAGUCUUGUGACAGAGAACAUUGAAUGGACCAGUGGCAGAAAUAUGCAAGUUGACACAGUACCUGGAGAGACAGGGCAUCCCAGGUUAGAGAGAGAGAGAGCGCUUGGAGGAGCUCUUGGAAAUUGACCUUUCCCUGCAUCUCAAAAAAUGCUGGGUGUCUCAACAAGUACAGUGUUUAGACGGAUGCGGGAGUUUGACCUUUCUGCUGGACACCACAGCAGUAUGAGUGAUGGAGCUGGACAGAGUUGUACACAGUAUAGAAAAUGAAAUGCAAACUGCUGUCUGCCGCAUGAUGAAGGGGAGGUUGGGAUCCCUGGGGUUCGAUGUCCAGUGGAGGUGGGUGGCUGCAUCAAUACACCGUGUGGACAUGUGGGUGUCCUCUCCAGGCUUGCUGGAUUAGGCUGCAUCCUACGCAGGACACAUUCUGUGAGAGGACCCCUUUCACUUUGGCACGUGGACACAAACCACAAGCGUCAGUCACGACUGCAUAUGUGGACAUAUUUCUAUAUUGUGCUCUAUUUACACAAGGUUAGGUUAGUUCAUCAUUUAUGUUGAACAGACGCUCCCAAAAUUUUACGCUGCUGC
Long non-coding RNA from Pygocentrus nattereri (red-bellied piranha), 3000 nucleotides. RefSeq lists it as uncharacterized. NCBI's taxonomy places the organism in Eukaryota, Metazoa, Chordata, Actinopteri, Characiformes, Serrasalmidae. The transcript is spliced from 4 exons. The record is from RefSeq and is a predicted model, not a curated record.